RNAcentral lists this ribosomal RNA (803 nucleotides) under uncultured Bacillota bacterium. RNAcentral's name for it is "bacterial SSU rRNA". It matches the Rfam family "Bacterial small subunit ribosomal RNA", at positions 73 to 889 of the family's 1533-position model. The record is from RNAcentral. Lineage: Bacteria; Bacillati; Bacillota.
GCUCCCUUCGGGGAGUGCAUAGAGUGGCGCACGGGUGAGUAACACGUAAGUAAUCUACCUUUGAGUGGGGAAUAACCCGGGGAAACCCGAGCUAAUACCGCAUAAUGCAGCGGCACCGCAAGGUGACAGUUGUUAAAGGAGCAAUCCGCUUAAAGAGGAGCUUGCGGCAGAUUAGCUAGUUGGUAAGGUAACGGCUUACCAAGGCUACGAUCUGUAUCCGGUCUAAGAGGACGGUCGGACACACUGACACUGAAUAACGGGUCAGACUCCUACGGGAGGCAGCAGUCGGGAAUUUUGGGCAAUGGGGGAAACCCUGACCCAGCAACGCCGCGUGAAGGAUGAAGUAUUUCGGUAUGUAAACUUCGAAAGAAUAGGAAGAAUUAAUGACGGUACUAUUUAUAAGGUCCGGCUAACUACGUGCCAGCAGCCGCGGUAAUACGUAGGGACCAAGCGUUGUUCGGAUUUACUGGGCGUAAAGGGCGCGUAGGCGGCGUGGUAAGUCACUUGUGAAAUCUCUGAGCUUAACUCAGAACGGCCAAGUGAUACUGCUGUGCUAGAGUGCAGAAGGGGCAAUCGGAAUUCUUGGUGUAGCGGUGAAAUGCGUAGAUAUCAAGAGGAACACCUGAGGUGAAGACGGGUUGCUGGGCUGACACUGACGCUGAGGCGCGAAAGCCAGGGGAGCAAACGGGAUUAGAUACCCCGGUAGUCCUGGCCCUAAACGAUGAAUACUUGGUGUCUGGAGUUUUAAUGCUCCGGGUGCCGUCGCUAACGUUUUUAGUAUUCCGCCUGGGGAGUACGCUCGC